UUUAAAGGUUCUGUAGGUCGCCCGGGUAGGUCGUCGUCGAAAAUUGAUAUUUCAUUUGACACUUCAACCAAAACAUGUUUCGAAUGAAGACUAAAUGCCAAGUCCGAUCGUCAGCAGAGCGCGCACGUGAUUCGUGUAUUUGAAAAUGCAACCGUUAAUGAACGAAGUCGAGUCAAAGUGCUGGAUCGUGCAAUCGACGUCCGUAAUAACUUGUUCUCAAUUGACUGCCUGCCCUUUUUUGACAUGUCAAGACACUUCAGGUGACAUCAUCUGGGACAGUUGGAACAACUCUACGCUCCACAUUUAAUUCAGUGUCAAUCCUGAUUUCAUCAACAUGGACUGAAGGAACAAAAGUCAUGCAAAUAUGCUGUUUUGUGUAGUGGUGUCACAAGAUAAAGUACUUCCUUGAUGAGUUCAGAGAUGGAUGAUCAAUCAAACAUAGAAUAUGGUUUCUAGCAACCCUGCAGGUAUCCUUCAUACGCCAAUGAGAGUGCAUAAAGCUUGCACAUAUUAUAAACGGUAUCUGUGCUAUCCCAAAUAUAUAACAUUAGACCAAUUACAUUGCCAAAUUACAAUGGAGCCUAUCAAAGAAAAGGUAGACUCCAGCAAAACGUAAUUUGAAUAUUAAAAUAGAGAAAAACCAAAGAAGCACUGAUAAUUUCAUCAAAAUCUGACUAAGAUAAGAAGGUUGUGAAAUUUUGAGUUUAAAAAAACAUUAAUAUGCAAAACACAGGUCAAAUGAGGAUCAAAGACGUUCUUUUGUAUUUUAUCAUAUGAAACAUAGAACAGAUCCAUUGUCUUUGGCAGAGAGUAAUUGGUCUACCGGUAAUCUUAUACUUAGGGGGAUAAUAAUUUAAGAGAUGCUUUACAUAGGAAUAAGUAAUUAUGUAGUACAAUACAUUUUUCAGGAGCAACUUGGUCUGCUCAUCAUUAGAGUGCAGUGGGCUGAUUCAUAAAUCUGUUAGUAAGUUAAGAUUGAUUUUAAGAACGACU
Molecule: long non-coding RNA, 993 nt
Filed under: Lytechinus variegatus (green sea urchin)
Lineage: Eukaryota; Metazoa; Echinodermata; Echinoidea; Temnopleuroida; Toxopneustidae
Description: uncharacterized LOC121430158, transcript variant X2
Source: RNAcentral